AGUCUUCCACAAUGGACGGAAGUCUGAUGGAGCAACGCCGCGUGAGCGAAGAAGGUUUUCGGAUCGUAAAGCUCUGUUGUAAGGGAAGAACACGUACGGGAGUCACUGCCCGUACCUUGACGGUACCUUAUCAGAAAGCCACGGCUAACUACGUGCCAGCAGCCGCGGUAAUACGUAGGUGGCAAGCGUUGUCCGGAAUUAUUGGGGUUAAAGCGGAGGAAGGCGGUCCUUUAAGUCGGAUGUGAAAGCCCACGGCUCAACCGUGGAGGGUCAUUGGAAACUGGAGGACUUGAGUACAGAAGAGGAAAGCGGAAUUCCACGUGUAGCGGUGAAAUGCGUAGAGAGGUGGAGGAACACCAGUGGCGAAGGCGGCUUUCUGGUCUGUAACUGACGCUGAGGCGCGAAAGCGUGGGGAGCAAAC
This 421-nucleotide ribosomal RNA is filed under the name uncultured bacterium. RNAcentral's name for it is "partial 16S ribosomal RNA". It matches the Rfam family "Bacterial small subunit ribosomal RNA", at positions 359 to 773 of the family's 1533-position model. The record is from RNAcentral.